CCGGCUGCUCGCUUUUUAUCACUUCUCCCUUCUCGAAACACAGACGAACACCUUUCUUUUAUUACUCUCCUGUCCCCCUCCCUCUCUCAUCAACCAUCACCUCCGUCCCGUCCGCCUCCCAUUCGCUCAAACCGGAAGGAGGAGGAGGGCGAAUUAAAGCCUCGCCUCCCGCCCCCGCCCCCGCCCCCGCCCCCCACCGCGUCGCCGGCGCCGAUGGCCGACGGCGGGGCCGGCGCGUACCGGGAGUUCAAGGCGCUGGCGGAGGCGGCGGACCGCAAGUUCGCGCGCGCGCGGGACCUGCCGCUCUACGGCGGCGGGGACCACCACAGCCGGAAGGCGUUCAAGGCCUACACGCGGCUCUGGCGCCUGCAGCAGGAGCGCCGCCGGGAGCUCGUCGCCGCCGGCCUCCGCCGCUGGGAGAUCGGCGAGGUGGCCUCCCGGAUCGGCCAGCUCUACUACGCGCGCUACCUCCGCGCCGCCGAGCCGCGCUCGCUCGUCGGCGCCUACGUCUUCUACGAGGCCAUAUACAGCCGCGGCUACUUCGGCGCGGCCGCGGCAGCGGUGGGGACGGACGGCGGCGGCGGCGGCGUCAGCCGCCACCAGGCGCUCCUGAUCCGGUACAAGGAGCUUCGGUUCAUCGCGCGGUUCCUCGUCGUGGCCAUGCUGAUGCGGCGGGCCGAGGCGGUGGACCACCUCGCCGCACGCCUACGUGCGCUCGUCGAGGAGACCAAGGCUGCGUACCCCAAAACAAACUUCAAGGAAUGGAAGCAAGUACUUCAAGAACUUGGCAGAUUUUUGAAGGCUGAUGGAGCAUAUAAAGGAUCUAGAUCACUAAGAUAUGACAACUUAUUUGAUUCUUAUCCAUCGAACCUUGUAUCUAUUGCACGAUUCCAUUCAAAAAGGGUGCUCAAACUGAAGGAAGCUGUGCUAACAAGCUACCGCAGAAAUGAGAUCAAGUUCACAGAACUAACUUUGGAUACAUUCAGAAUGCUACAGUGUUUAGAGUGGGAACCCACUGGGUCUUAUCAGAUUGCUGCUAAAGAACUUACAGAAAAUGGCACUGUAAGUGAUCAGAGUGGACCCUCUGGUCUGAUUGAUAUUCAACUGUCAACAGAAAUAUCUGAUGGAAGUCUUCCUUCAAAUCCUCAAAAGGCAAUCAUAUAUCAUCCUACAGCCGCUCAUCUUUUAGCAGUUCUAGCAACAAUUUGUGAAGAGCUCUCUCAAGAUAGCAUUUUACUCAUCUAUAUAUCAGCGUCAGGGUCUGCUGAGCAGAGUUUUGCUAGUCAAAAGUUUGGCUCUAGCUCAUCUCGUGCGAGGGCUGCCUCUGCCUUCCCCACUGAUAAGCCAAACUCGCAUAACAGUUCUGAUAAUCAUCUAUGGCUUGGCCCCCGUGGAAGUGGAGGUCCAAACAAUCUUUAUCCAGAUGAUCUAAUUCCAUUUACAAGAUAUCCACUGUUCCUUGUAAUUGAUAGUGAAAAUAGCCAUGCAUUCAAGGCAGGUCAUACAUAAUUCAGAGAAGGGAGAACCAGCUGCUUUAUUACUUUCUCCCAGGACAUCAUCAGCCAUGCCUGGAGUAGAAUCCACGGCUCACGGAAGCCAGUUUACAUACUUCCUCACUGCUCCAAUGCAAGCCUUCUGCCAACUAGCGGGAAUAACUUCUGACAUAGACACUGAUACAUACGCAAAUGCAGAGAACAUACUUUUCUCUGCUUUGGAAGAAUAUGAAGGAAUACUCUGCACUUCUGUUGGAUUAAACAAUGUCUGGGGGCAAAUUUUACCAGACCCAUUUCUCAGACGGCUGAUUCUCAGGUUUAUUUUCUGCCGGGCAGUGCUUUUCUAUUUCCACUCAGAUGAGCACGAAUAUCUACCGACCUGCUUACCUAGUCUUCCAGAGUCAGUCUCCCCGCAUGCAGAGGCCAUAAGAACUCCUAUCCUUUCGCUUGCAGAAAACCUUGUCGUCAGCGACCGGUUUGACUUCCGAGACUCCACACGCAACAAGAAAUGAUGACCAGCAGCAAUAACCAUAACUCAUGCCUUCUGUAGAUACCUCUGUGGUAAAUAUAGUCCAGCGAUUUGUUGAUUGUUUUGCAUUUAUACAGCCAACGGAGCAAUUAGUCAGCACCAAUUAGCAGCGGCAUCCGCGCCUGGAUGGUGUGAAUUGAAUGGCGAUAUGAAGAAUUUUGACCUGUCUCCGUUGAGCGUCUGUACAAGUUUGUUUAGGUGUUCUCUAAUUUGCUCUAGGCACUGUAGGCAUGUAGCCUUGUCGUCGAUUUUUUUUCUAUUUUGUUGUCUUGGAGAGGACGGUUUGUAAGCUGGAAGAGGCGUUUUUAAAGUACUCUAGAAGGCAGAUUGUUUUGUAGAGUUUGGUUAACUCACCAUAUUUGACGGCAGUUUACGGUUUUCCAAUUUUCGUAGCGCUA
Zea mays is the source of this 2420-nucleotide RNA transcript. It is a transcript of the gene named protein SCAI homolog, with no coding region annotated. Lineage: Eukaryota; Viridiplantae; Streptophyta; Magnoliopsida; Poales; Poaceae. The record is from RefSeq and is marked validated. The transcript is spliced from 9 exons.